This 1535-nucleotide long non-coding RNA is filed under the name Homo sapiens (human). RNAcentral describes it as "HIF1A stabilizing long noncoding RNA". Lineage: Eukaryota; Metazoa; Chordata; Mammalia; Primates; Hominidae. The record is from RNAcentral.
GCUGGGGGUAAGGGGUGAGUCCUCUCAGGGGCAUGCUUAGGAAACAAAGUAGUUCCCAAAAUCUAUGCAUAUGACAGAGAAGAAUUAGAUGGCCUUUGAGAGACCCAGAAGAAAAUGCAAAAAGGAAUAGGGAAAAAAAGGGCAAAGCAACCUGCUGUGAGCCUCCUAAUCUUCCAUGGCCUGAAUUCCCAGCGCUUGAGAACAAGCCCUGUGAAAAACAAGCUGCUGUCCCUGCUAGAGGCAUCCUGCAAUCCAUGGAUGUUUAUCACCAAGCCAUUGUUAACAUGAGGAUCCAGUAUCUGCCGGAGGAGCCCCACCUUCUGCUACUAUUAUGUUCUUCAGAUGAGUAGAAGAGAGUGGGGAGGGAGAGAGCAGGAAGAAGAAAGGAAGAAUAAUGUCUUGAAAUUGAUGAUGCAUAUCAUAAAUUAUUACUCACCCCAUGUUCCCACCCUCGAGAGACCUCCAAACAAUCACCAUGCCACAGUGAACAUUCAGUAACAAAAAUUCAGCCAGGGUUUUCACCAGCAUGAAUGGCAGUGAUUCCAAUCAGGAAAACAGAAAGAGGAGAGUUCAGAGCCACCUAGAAUGGCUCUUGCAAGAUACGAAAUCAAGGCAGCAGCAACAGGGCUGAACAUUCCUCAUCCCUAACUCUCCCUUCACCAGUAGGAAACCCAGGAUAACUGCAAUCACCGCAGGCCCAUCUGGCCUGAAGUUCUACUACUAGUAGCCCUCCAUGGGACCUUCUUAAGGAAGCAUGUCAACUCAGGUAAGGGAUGUAAGGGGAUGGAUGACCCUUUGAGGCCAAAGUUGGAGCAAAAAACACCAGAUGUUCCUGUGCACUGCUCCUAAGAGAUGGUUCUGAAGACCAGUUCGGGGAGAGGUCAAAAUACUGGACAGAAUCUCAGCAACAUGGAACCUCAAACUAAGUGACAGUCACAGACAACUCUUCCCCAAAGAAAAUAAGCACAGACAUGGUUUGUGGUAAGCAGAAUUAUAAAGAUGAAUUCCCAUCUCCCUGUCAGAUUACCAGUAUGGUAAAUUACCAGAUUACCUGGUUAUUUAUUCAAACACUAAUACAGUUAUUGCCUUGAUGGAAACAUACAGAUACAAUUAAAAUCCCAAGUACCAAAUAAAUUGACCUUAAGACAAAGACUAAGUAAAUCACAUGAGCCCUCUACAAGCAGAGAGUUUUUCUCCAGCUGGUAGCAGAAGCCAGAGAUUUGAAGCAUAGGAAGUAUUCAACACAUUAUUGCUGGCCUGAAAAUGGAAGGGGCCACAUAACGAGGGAAACCGGUGGCCUCUAGAAGCAGGGAGCAGUCCCCUGCUGACAGACAGCAAGCCAAGACCUCAGUUCUACAAUUGCAAGACACUCAAUUCUGCUAAGGACAAAAAUGAGCUUGGAAGUGAACUCUGAGCUUCAGGUGAGAACACGGCCAAACAACACCUUGAUUUCAGCUUAAACAAAGAAUGCAGCCACUCCAUGCCAGAAUUCUGACCUGUAGAAAUUUGAGCUAAUAAAUAGAUGUUUUAAUAGC